RNAcentral lists this ribosomal RNA (323 nucleotides) under uncultured eukaryote. Its description in RNAcentral is "partial 18S ribosomal RNA". It matches the Rfam family "Eukaryotic small subunit ribosomal RNA", at positions 1470 to 1796 of the family's 1831-position model. The record is from RNAcentral.
CCCUUAGAUGUUCUGGGCCGCACGCGCGCUACACUGAUACAUGCAACGAGUUUAUAACCUUGAUCUGACGGUCUGGGUAAUCUUCAAACUGUAUCGUGUUAGGGAUCGAUUCUUGCAAUUUUUAAUCGUAAACGAGGAAUUCCUAGUAAACGCAAGUCAUCAGCUUGCAUUGAUUACGUCCCCGCCCUUUGUACACACCGCCCGUCGACUCUACCGAUUGAAUGGUUCGGUGAAAACUUUGGACUGUGGCAUUGUCCUUCAUUGGACUUCGCCGUAGGAAAUUGUUUAAACCUCAUCAUUUAGAGGAAGAAUAAGUCGUAACA